ACCCAUGAUAGUCGCAAUUGUCCCACAAAAUCAUCUUCAUAGCUUUUGGUAAGAACUAGACUUUGUGUACUUAAUCACAUACUUAUUAUAAAAAUAUAGUUAAUCUCAUAUUUAUUAAAUUUGUGUUCAUGUGCAGGGAAUAAUUUUUAGCAUUGGAGACAUCAUCUUUCUGCUACUACUUGGAAUGCAAUUAGUUGCUUUGAGAUAUUCAUUGAUUUAGUCUUUAAAUUGUAGUACAUUGGAGAGAUAUCUUUCUAUUUUGUAACAUUGUGUUAACAUUGGAGACAUAUCUUAUGUUUUAUAUUUGUCCGUUGUACACUAUGCUGCACCGUCUGCUGUUGAUGGGUUUGGGUACGUAAUUUUUGAGCUUCGAACCAGUUCUGCCAUAGCUGGAAUGCGUGAUCACCAACCUGUUCUGGCGAGCUUCGUGAAUUAUCCCACACAGUCGCGUUUCUGUUUUGCCAAAUUGCCCAGAUGAGCGCUGCAACACGGCCUGCAAUGUCUGCUAUAUUAUCAAAAUUGGGCAACCUGUGCAUUAGAAAUUUAGAAUAUAGCCAAGUCCAGCUGCUGUCCAAGUAGUAAUAACUUGUGGACAUAUAGCAAAAGCAUGUAAAUCAUGUUCGUAUCUGGAUUACAUAAGGGACAUAUUGGACUACAGUCCACACGGCAUUGUAGCUGCUUCAAGAAAAAUUUAAUUAUGCAUAUUCAUAGUACAUUUGAAGUGUUGAUACUUGACGAUACUUGGUCAUCAAUUUUCA
This 758-nucleotide long non-coding RNA is filed under the name Trifolium pratense (red clover). Its description in RNAcentral is "long non-coding RNA (TPRA_LNC002592)". Lineage: Eukaryota; Viridiplantae; Streptophyta; Magnoliopsida; Fabales; Fabaceae. The record is from RNAcentral.